Molecule: ribosomal RNA, 285 nt
Filed under: Triticum aestivum (bread wheat)
Lineage: Eukaryota; Viridiplantae; Streptophyta; Magnoliopsida; Poales; Poaceae
Description: partial small subunit ribosomal RNA
Source: RNAcentral
AUGAUCUUUGGAGAUUUUAAUGAGAUACUAGUUGCUAGUGAGAAGGAGGGUGGAAACAUCAGACCGCAACAAUAUAUGCAGAAUUUUCGAGACUGUGUGGAUGAUUGUGGUUUACAAGAAAUCAUGUUUAUAGGGGACCCUUUUACUUGGAGUAGAGGUGUGAUCAGAGAAAGGCUGGAUAGAGCCUUAUGCAACGAAAAGUGGGCUGAUAUUUUUCCUUAUGCAGCGGUUAUCCAUGAACACCAUGUACCUUCAGACCACAGACCAAUACUGCUAGAUACAUAA